GUGCAAAGCAGAUGUUCUUUCGCUGAGUGACAGGCUCAGUAAGAUAAGUGCUGAAAAAACACACGGUGUGUGCUCAGGCCUAUCUCGCCGGGGUGUUUGCUGCGAACUGCCUUGGCCGGCUCUGACCCUUAUCUGACCUCCCCGUCGGAUGAACCUGGCUCCUGAUCCUGGAGGAUGCCUGAGCCCUGGAAAUGCUAGACGUUCUAACAACAAGCCCUCGCCAAAGCCUGACAGCUCAGCGUGGGACAGCAAGUGGAAAACUGGACACUGUGCAUCCAUCCAUGUCCUCCUGCAGCAGCGUCCAGGGUGGAAACUUCAACUGGCGCAUGCACCCAAGUUGGCGGCUGUGGAAAACCAGGCAGGAGCUACACAAUGUCCAGCACAUGCAAGUGCCAACACUUUGUCCCUGCAGACAUGCCAAGGAUGACUGGAGCCACUGCCAGUCAGUGUAGGCAAUACUAAGUGGACCAGGAGGUCUGAGUAUAAGGCAGUUUUUUUCUGUUCCCGAGGUAGCAUGAAUAAGAUCUGAAGGGAAACCACAAAAUUCCAUCAGUCCAGGAUCCACAUUCAUUUGAGUGCCCUUCCCAAGGACCACAUGCCCAUGGCGGACUGGGCCAGAGGCAAAAUCAGGAAGAGCAACGUACAGAAGUUUUACCUCAGUACAGGCAGUUUCUAUGCACACUCGCACACCCCUCUCAUCCGAACCCCUGGGCCAUCUGAAGACAAUCAUGUAUAGGUAUUUUUUU
Podarcis muralis (Common wall lizard) is the source of this 746-nucleotide non-coding RNA. The record is from RefSeq and is a predicted model, not a curated record. NCBI's taxonomy places the organism in Eukaryota, Metazoa, Chordata, Lepidosauria, Squamata, Lacertidae.